RNAcentral lists this ribosomal RNA (501 nucleotides) under uncultured bacterium. RNAcentral describes it as "partial 16S ribosomal RNA". It matches the Rfam family "Bacterial small subunit ribosomal RNA", at positions 30 to 523 of the family's 1533-position model. The record is from RNAcentral.
AUUGAACGCUGGCGGCAGGCUUAACACAUGCAAGUCGAGCGGGGGAAGGUAGCUUGCUACUGGACCUAGCGGCGGACGGGUGAGUAAUGCUUAGGAAUCUGCCUAUUAGUGGGGGACAACAUCUCGAAAGGGAUGCUAAUACCGCAUACGUCCUACGGGAGAAAGCAGGGGAUCUUCGGACCUUGCGCUAAUAGAUGAGCCUAAGUCGGAUUAGCUAGUUGGUAGGGUAAAGGCCUACCAAGGCGACGAUCUGUAGCGGGUCGGAGAGGAUGAUCCGCCCAACUGGGACUGAGACACGGCCCAGAGUCCUACGGGAGGAAGCAGUGGGGAAUAUUGGACAAUGGGGGGAACCCUGAUCCAGCCAUGCCGCGUGUGUGAAGAAGGACUUAUGGUUGUAAAGCACUUUAAGCGAGGAGGAGGCUACUCUAGUUAAUACCUAGGGAUAGUGGACGUUACUCGCAGAAUAAGCACCGGCUAACUCUGUGCCAGCAGCCGCCGUAA